Molecule: ribosomal RNA, 255 nt
Filed under: Escherichia coli
Lineage: Bacteria; Pseudomonadati; Pseudomonadota; Gammaproteobacteria; Enterobacterales; Enterobacteriaceae
Description: partial 23S ribosomal RNA
Rfam family: Bacterial large subunit ribosomal RNA
Source: RNAcentral
AGCCCAGAGCCUGAAUCAGUGUGUGUGUUAGUGGAAGCGUCUGGAAAGGCGCGCGAUACAGGGUGACAGCCCCGUACACAAAAAUGCACAUGCUGUGAGCUCGAUGAGUAGGGCGGGACACGUGGUAUCCUGUCUGAAUAUGGGGGGACCAUCCUCCAAGGCUAAAUACUCCUGACUGACCGAUAGUGAACCAGUACCGUGAGGGAAAGGCGAAAAGAACCCCGGCGAGGGGAGUGAAAAAGAACCUGAAACCGU